AGGAGAGGAAGGAAAACACAGUCCUGGCAGGAGGUGCCCGAGAUCUGGAGCCGAGAAACGCUGAUGCUGCCGUCCACAGGGCCCUGGGCUCCUUGGAGGCUCGAGGAAAUAAAGUAACUGGCUGAUGACCAACUGCCACAUGUACCUAUGGCUCUUCCAGCAAAUACUGUGUGAGAUCCAGGCAAAUGAGGCCCAGGAUCUGUCCUUAAGGAGGUCGCCGAGCAACGGACUUAAAGAAAAGGACUUCUUCAGAACAUCGGUGGUAAAAAAAAAAAAAAAAAAAGAACGUCGGUAAUAAACAAGGAAGAAACGCAAUUUGUUCUCUCUGGUGCUACCCAAGAUGGAAAACGGAUGUAGCCCAGACUUAUUAGUCUUCUUAAAUGUAAAGAAAAAGAAAAUUGAGUGGUGACCUGACCCAGAACUAUCAGAGGAAGAAAAGCAGCAUUAGUUCAAGACUGAGAAGCAAGAAAAAUCUGAGUCUGUUUGCCAGAUAAAAUAGGAAGUAUCUGCAGCUGGAUUCCCUCUGUGUCGGUCACAAAGCGUCAGUCUACUCAUCACAUAACUGAGCUGCUCAGCUUCAACUGAUCCCCUUGUCCAAAUGCAGCCAUCUCACUUCUGAUUCAUAAAACACUAUUUCACAGCAAGUGAGUCACUUAAUGACUACAUAAUGUAACAUAAAUUACUUUUAUGCAUUUAAAACAAUUUCCUAAUUACAAGGAAACAUAAAAAAAGGUUCCGAGUGUGAUUUUUAAGAUGCUGGAACAAACCAAGAUUUAAUAUAAAAUAUAAUGAC
Molecule: long non-coding RNA, 793 nt
Filed under: Bos taurus (domestic cattle)
Lineage: Eukaryota; Metazoa; Chordata; Mammalia; Artiodactyla; Bovidae
Description: long non-coding RNA NONBTAT012757
Source: RNAcentral